Molecule: ribosomal RNA, 346 nt
Filed under: uncultured bacterium
Lineage: Bacteria
Description: partial 16S ribosomal RNA
Rfam family: Bacterial small subunit ribosomal RNA
Source: RNAcentral
CCUACGGGAGGCAGCAGUAGGGAAUCUUUCACAAUGGGCGAAAGCCUGAUGGAGCAACGCCGCGUGAAGGAUGAAUGCCUUAGGGGUUGAAACUGCCUUUUUAAACGAAAUAUAUUGUGGCAACUUAUCAAUUAUGAUCGGCUAAUAACAUGCCAGCAGCAGUGGUCAUAUGCAGGAGCCGAGCAUUAUCCGGAGUGUCUGGGUGUAAAGAGGUGCGUAGGUGGGAUAAUAGAUAGCUUGUGAAAUCUUGUGGCUCAAACAUUAAGAUUAUUAGCUAAACUGUUAAUCUUGAGACCGGUAGGGGUAAGUGGAAUUUGUAGUGUGGGGGUGAAAUGCUUAGAUAUUA